GAGAGGAGCUGUCCUUAGUACGAGAGGACCAGGAUGGACGGACCUCUGGUGUGUGGGUUGUUCUGCCAAGAGCAGUGCCCAGUAGCUAUGUUCGGACGGGAUAACCGCUGAAAGCAUCUAAGCGGGAAACCCACCUCAAGAUUAGGUCUCCCUGUCGAGAAAUCGGCACUAAAGGUCUGUGGUAGACUACCACGUUGAUAGGCUGGGUGUGUAAGUCCGGUGACGGAUUAAGCUAACCAGUACUAAUAGACCGUGUGCCUUGACCAG
Molecule: ribosomal RNA, 267 nt
Filed under: Candidatus Roizmanbacteria bacterium
Lineage: Bacteria; Candidatus Roizmaniibacteriota
Description: partial 23S ribosomal RNA
Rfam family: Bacterial large subunit ribosomal RNA
Source: RNAcentral